This is a long non-coding RNA of Mya arenaria, 315 nucleotides long. RefSeq lists it as uncharacterized. The record is from RefSeq and is a predicted model, not a curated record. Lineage: Eukaryota; Metazoa; Mollusca; Bivalvia; Myida; Myidae. The transcript has 4 exons.
CGAAAAAUGUUUCUUUUCAUUCCUUGGAUGUGCAAGAAAAUCUUUUAUGUAUCAGAUUGUACAGUUCCUAGUAAUGAGAAAUGGCUAGAUGUUAUACAAUAUCAUACUUCAUGAUGUCACCAACAAUGUCAUGUUCUGAGUAUUGGGAAAUAGUUGGAGACUCAGCAGUGCAGAAACUAGUUUACUCAGAAUGUUUGUUCCAACUGACGGAUGAUAUUGUCAGAUAAGAGCACAUUGGCAAGUUGCAGACGUUGACUUUCUGAAUUACAGAAAAUAGUUUCAGUCAGGAUACCAGAAAGCAUCAGGACUUCCCGG